Haemorhous mexicanus (house finch) is the source of this 1522-nucleotide long non-coding RNA. RefSeq lists it as uncharacterized. The transcript is spliced from 2 exons. NCBI's taxonomy places the organism in Eukaryota, Metazoa, Chordata, Aves, Passeriformes, Fringillidae. The record is from RefSeq and is a predicted model, not a curated record.
UGAGAGGUGGAAUCUCGAUUUUUGGCACCUGAGAAUCCCACCUGCGGCUCGGUUCAGGGCCAGCGUUUUGCCCAGGCUGCAGCUUUUGAGAGAGCAGAGCGUCUGCUUGGCCCUCCCUGGGUCCCAGACCUCAGGGGCCAUUGUGUAGCACUGCCGAGCCACGGUUUUGGGGUGAUUUUGGGGUAUCCACAUGAUAUAGGUGAUUUUUGAGGUGAUUUUGGGGUAUCCACGUGAUAUGGGUGAUUUUUAGGGUGAUUUUGGGGUAUCCACGUGAUAUGGGUGAUUUUUAGGGUGAUUUUGGGGUAUCCACGUGAUAUGGGUGAUUCUUAGGGUGAUUUUGGGGUAUCCACGUGAUAUGGAUGAUUUUUGGGGUGAUUUUGGGGUAUCCACGUGAUAUGGAUGAUUUUUGGGGUGAUUUUGGGGUAUCCACGUGAUAUGGAUGAUUUUGGGAGAGAUUUGGGGUAUCCUGGUGAUAUGGGUGAUUUUUGGGGCAAUUUUGGGGAGAUUUUGGGGUAUCCAGGCAGUGCGGCUGUGAGAUUUUGGGGAGGGGGAGAUGGUGAGGCUGCCGGUCAGCAUUGAAGUGACCGAACUGUGGGAUUUGAAGGGUUCUGCACAGUGGGGCUGUGGGCUUUUGGGGUUUCGAGCCAGCCCCGCUCCCAGCAGGUGGCAUCUUCAGCUCAGGAUUUGCUGCUCCAGCUUAGCCGGGUGAUGGAGCCGGGGAGGGAUUUGUGGAGCAGCUCAGGAGCAGUGUGAAGCUCUGCAGAGCAGGGACAGGGGCUGGAUGCUGGUGGCACAGAGCUCUGGAGGGCUGGACCAGCGGGCAGCAGCUGGGAGGGCUCGGUGGUGGUGCGAGAAUUGGGACAGAUCGGCCGAGCUCAGCGGCUGAUCGAUGAUCCCAGGAGCCGAUAAGGCAUUUAUUUAUUUACAAUGAUGAGGAAACCGCUGCUCCCGUCACCCUUUUAUUCAGGAGGAGCUGUGGAAGCUGAACGUGGCAACGCUCCUUGGGAUGCAAACGGCAGCGGAUGUGGAUGCACGUGGAGAUAAGGGCAGCAGAGCGGGCACACCGCAGUGGGGAGGUGUCUCGGGGUCUCUAGCUGCUCAGAGUGACCCCGAGAAACGAAAAAAACUCUCUUUUCCCAGCCUGGCACUUGAAGGAGUCUGAGCUCUUCAGUUCUCGGUCUCAAGGUUGUUUAUUGUAUCUUAUCUAUAUUUUCUCCUGUUCAGCUAGACAGUCCAAGGCACUCUGCCUGCCCCCGGGGCAGUGUUAUGUCUUUAUACUAAAAACUACCUAUGCAAUGUUUACAAUUACUUCCCAAUACCCAUCACCUAUGUUAGACAGUGAGCUUCUACUCUAAACCCACCUAAAAGUGCCAACAUCACAGCAGAAGAUGGAGGCUAAGAAAAAGAAGGAGGAAGGCUGGACACACUCAGAUUCCUCCAUCUUGCCCCCUGAACCCACAUUCUAAAACCCCCAAAAAUCUAUUUUUGACCCUGUAAUAAAUUCACUGUCAUUCAACUUAAA